RNAcentral lists this long non-coding RNA (250 nucleotides) under Elaeis guineensis (African oil palm). RNAcentral's name for it is "long non-coding RNA (EGUI_LNC080597)". The record is from RNAcentral. Lineage: Eukaryota; Viridiplantae; Streptophyta; Magnoliopsida; Arecales; Arecaceae.
GUACCAUAUUGAUUCAUGAAAAUGGUUCAUUUUUCUCUAAACUAAUGUCAUACCAUAUUAAUCUGAGUUCGAGUCAAAAGAAGUUGCUCAGUAUCGGUGCUAGGCAAAUUAAUCAUAUGAUCUACUAUUAUAGUAUGUACUAUAUAUCACUACUUCCAUAUCUUAAUAUAGAAGUGGGUCUACAGUUUAGCUGAAUCACCUUCUUGUCAAUUCUUACGGCUAGAAUUGUUUUUGUAUUUUGAUUUUUGGG